CGUCGUGAUCAGUGAUAUACGGCUGCCGGGCCUUGGCGGAAUAGAUCUCGCCAGAAGGAUCUGCAAGAUGGAACGCCAUCCGAAGGUCAUCCUGCUGACCGCCUACGCGAAUCCCCAGAUGGUCAAGGACGGGGUCGCCGCCGGUGCCUGUCGGGUUCUGUCAAAACCCAUCGGCUUGAAAGCAUUGGCUCAAGCAGUUCUGGAGGUUGUCGGCCCCAGUCCGCAAGCGUACGAAUCGUAAUGGGCGCAAGGCUCCGUAGCCUUCCACUCCCCGAUCC
Molecule: unclassified non-coding RNA, 278 nt
Filed under: fungal sp.
Lineage: Eukaryota; Fungi
Description: partial internal transcribed spacer region
Source: RNAcentral